UUAUCUAGUGACUGAAAAGCAAGUAAUGGUCUCUUAAACCAAAUUAUGGUAAAAUGCAUUUACCCUAGAUAAA
RNAcentral lists this transfer RNA (73 nucleotides) under Mycopsylla gardenensis. Its description in RNAcentral is "tRNA-Lys". Lineage: Eukaryota; Metazoa; Arthropoda; Insecta; Hemiptera; Carsidaridae. The record is from RNAcentral.